RNAcentral lists this long non-coding RNA (1481 nucleotides) under Numida meleagris (helmeted guineafowl). Its description in RNAcentral is "lncRNA (ENSNMEG00000010442.1)". The record is from RNAcentral. Lineage: Eukaryota; Metazoa; Chordata; Aves; Galliformes; Numididae.
UGUACUGUAAACUCAUGUUCUACAGAUUUAAAUGGUGAAGGCAUUCAGAGCUAGGAGAAAACAGCUGUCUGGAUGGGGAGUAUUCUUUGCAGAUGUUAAUUUUCAUGAAGGUGUCUGCAUUUCUUUUAAUAUCACAUCGUGUUUGAACUACCUUAUGAGGAAUGCGGCAGCAACAGCUAUUUAAAUACAGGGCAAGAUGUAAAAAGGAAAGUACCUCCUACAACUGACAUCUCAGAGGGAUUCUGAAGCAUUUAUGUUCAGGCUAUGCGGUUUCUCCCCAUGUGUGAGAGGGAAGGAAGGGCCAGCACACACAGCUGACAAAUGUAACGCUCUUGGCAGCCUGUAACAUGUCACUAAGAAAAUGGAAGAUUCAAGAUUCACGAAGCAGUCCAAACUCUGCUUUUGUUUCCCAUCUGGCUUUUUGCAAAAGAAAAACAAGGCAGCUGACAACGGCCCACAGCAGAUGUCUCUACAGUUCUGCUGAAGGAGCAGCAUGGAUUUAGGGACCAGGCAUUUCAACCCUCCAGGCAGCAGGAUCUCAGCCUCACCGCAGUGAUUUGAAGGCAAUAACUAUGCUGCAUUUCUUCUCAUCCCUUGUCUAAGUACAGAGACAGAAGAUUGGCAUUUUCUUGAGCAAUGUGUUUGGAUGGGUCCUACCCAAUGAGACCUCAAACGAACAACGUGAACAAAAUCAAUCCAUGCGAUUCACCUCGAGAAGCAAAUAAUGACUUAGCCUGUGACCUCACUUUCUCUCAGGACCUUCUUGCCUGGGAAGCAACAACCACACGAGACACUUAGCUGUAUUCAUGCAUCUCACUCUUGCUAGGGCCAGAUUCUACCAAAAAUACUCCAAGCUAUUUUCGGUUUGAUAUUCUCUGGAAGUGAGCCUGGGGCUUCCUUCCACCACAGCCCUUCAGCUCAUGACCUUUUUGGCUCAGGGAUGCUGUAGUAGACUUUCUGUGAGCAGAAGCCAGCAUCAGCCAGGUGCUCCAGGGAGAAGAACUAAAGAUAGCAAGAGAAACUUUGUCAAGGUAGACUCACCGCGGAAGAUAGGAGCAAGCAGUGCACGCAGCCCUUCCCUUCGCUUCAAUGACAAAUCACCAGUACCAAGAGGAUUCUCUCAUCAGAGGGCGAUGGCACAAAGUGAGAUUAAGGUUGCAAGCCAUUUUGCUUUUAUGUGUUCAGCUCAAGAGCAAGGUCAAAGACGUAAGGUCUUAAAACUUUUAAUUAAGUGACAGUGGAAUUAUUCAUUCCCUCCUGGAUUACAUCGAUGCAAUCCAGCAUGAAAACUGCUAUUUGACAUUUCCCUUGGCUUCCACUCCCCGUGGGUGGGGGGACACAAGAAAUUGGUUUGCGGUACGAGCUUGCCACAGCUACUGACAGGGGUGCAAGGCACUUCUGAAAUCUUCUGUGCUCCUGGUUUUACUGAAAUGGCAGAAAAGCACUAAAGCAAGGAAAAAGCAGCAUUACUGCAAUACAAG